Molecule: long non-coding RNA, 1309 nt
Organism: Daphnia carinata
Lineage: Eukaryota; Metazoa; Arthropoda; Branchiopoda; Diplostraca; Daphniidae
Exons: 6
Source: RefSeq, a predicted model, not a curated record
AGUGUGAAGGACAUUUUGCCAGAGUGUCCACAAGCUGGUGGGGGCGGCGGUAGUGGUCCGUUGACGUCACAAAUAUGGGGAAGGGGGACAUUUCUCGAAGGAUUGUCCACAAGAGGGUCGCGGCGGUGGUGGAAGCCGUACCUGCCAUGAGAUAAACAAAAAACAAAAAAAAACAUGAUUUUUAGUGCUCAUUUUUAACGAAGAAGAGGGCAAUAUAGCAAGGGAUUUUCCUCAAGGAGGAAGCAUUGGUGGCAGCAACUGUUACGAUUGUAAUGAAGCUGACCACACCUCGAAAGGCUGCCCAAAUCUCUUCAGUGAAUUGACGGAAGAUGGAAAGCCACAUGAGCAAUACAUUCCAGAAGCUGUGACAUGCGAUGAAAAGGAACUGUUUAAGGGCAUUGUCUAUGUGGGAACGCUUUAACAAUUUUGAUAAAGUUGUCCUCCAUGCUACAGGAAAAGAUGUACUUCAAUACAUAAGAUCAUUCGAAGAAGCCGGCCUGCACCAACUACUACUUCAAAACAUUAAGAAUUCUGGCUACAUAAAACCAACACCUGUUCAGAAAGCUUCAGUUGUAGUUAUUCUUGCCAAAAGAGGUUUAAUUGCUUGUGCGGUCACGGGCUCCGGAAAACGGCGGCGUACUUGGUACCGGUUAUGAACAUAUUGUUAGAACAAGGUGUUGUUGGUGCGUCUCAUGCCAUGGGGCAAAAGCCAGAAGUUGUAAUUGUCGCACCCACUCGUGAAUUGGCCAUUCAAAUUCACCGCGAGGCGUGUAAAUUCUCCUACAGUUCGGUUUUAAAGUCUGAUUAUAUAUGGAGGAACUCUCACGAGCCAUCAGCGGUCAAAUCUUCAAGCUGGGUGCAAUAUCUUUGUCGCGACCGCGGGGCGAUUCAAUGAUUUUCUCGACCAUGAAGUAUUUGACUUCUCGGGAGUCAGGUUUUAAAUUUUGGACGAAGCUGAUUUUGAAUGCUUGAUAUGGGUUUCGGUCCCAAUGUUGAAAAAAUUGUCAAUCAUCCAACGAUGCAUCCGAAAGGAAUCCGUCGUGUUUGUAUGUUUUCGGCUACAUUCCCAGAUGAAGUGCAAGAGCUGGCUGCGACGUACAUGGAAGACUACAUAUUCGUCACAACAGGCAUUGUCGGUGGCACCAAUCCGGGUGUUGAACAGCUGUUUUUUUUUUUUCAGUGCUCGAAAAGAGAUAAGAGAGCUAAGCUGAACGAAGUUUUACAAGAUCUCGGUGGUGCCAAGACUAUCCUUUUUGUCAACAGCAAAAAGACAGCGGAUUUCGUCGCUGCAUUCUCGUGCAAUAACAAC